Vanessa atalanta (red admiral) is the source of this 263-nucleotide long non-coding RNA. RefSeq lists it as uncharacterized. The transcript has 3 exons. NCBI's taxonomy places the organism in Eukaryota, Metazoa, Arthropoda, Insecta, Lepidoptera, Nymphalidae. The record is from RefSeq and is a predicted model, not a curated record.
UGAGAGUGUAAACGUCGAAAUAAUACUAACAAUAAAUUGGACAAGUUCGAGUUAAAAUGGCUCUCUUGGGUAAAGAAGUAAAAAGACUGAACGCAAUCAUGAUCGUCAAUAAUAUUACUACGUUAAUAUCAAAAGGACCCGAAGAAGCCUUACACACUGAACAAGAUUGCAUCUCCAAGUACGCAAAUUACUCUUUUGAUGAAGGUGCUGUAUUCUGCAACACAACCUUUGACACGUAUCUGUGCUGGCCUCCAACUAAAGCC